This is a regulatory RNA element of Acidocella aminolytica 101 = DSM 11237, 53 nucleotides long. It matches the Rfam family "serC leader". From Rfam's summary of the family: This family is a putative regulatory RNA structure that is found upstream of the serC-serA operon in some alpha-proteobacteria. The final stem of the structure overlaps the ribosome binding site of the serC reading frame. The record is from Rfam. NCBI's taxonomy places the organism in Bacteria, Pseudomonadati, Pseudomonadota, Alphaproteobacteria, Acetobacterales, Acidocellaceae.
CCUCGGGUCACGCUCCCCCACCGGAGCGCUUUUCUUCUGUAAGGGAGAGUUUU